Molecule: ribosomal RNA, 874 nt
Filed under: Pseudechiniscus saltensis
Lineage: Eukaryota; Metazoa; Tardigrada; Heterotardigrada; Echiniscoidea; Echiniscidae
Description: SSU rRNA
Rfam family: Eukaryotic small subunit ribosomal RNA
Source: RNAcentral
AAUUCUAGAGCUAAUACAUGCAGCAAGCCCUGACUCCUUGUGGGCAGGGCGCAGUUAUUAGAUCAAAAACCAAUCGACCGUACCUUCUGGUGCAGUCGCUCUUUUGGUGAAACUGAGUAACCACAGCAAACCGCAUGGCCUUGCGCUCGGCGGUCUGUCGGUCAAGCAACUGCCUUAUCAGCUUGUUGUUAGGUUAUAUGCCUAACAAGGCGUCAACGGGUAACGAACGAUCGGGGUCGGACAUCGGAGAGGGAGCCUGAGAAACGGCUACCACUUCCAAGGAAGGCAGCAGGCGCGCAAAUUACCCACUCCCGGCACGGGGAGGUAGUGACGAGAUGUAUCGAUGCGGGGCCAUUAGUGCCUUCGUAAUCGGAAUGAGUACACUUUAAAUCCUUUAACGAGGACCUAUUGGAGGGCAAGUCUGGUGCCAGCAGCCGCGGUAAUUCCAGCUCCAAUAGCGUAUAUUAAUGCUGCUGCGGUUAAAAAGCUCGUAGUUGGAUCUGGGUUCCCGACGGGUACUGUAUGCAGUCUUGUAUUGUAUACAUGUACUAUUCGUGUUGCUUCGGUAGCACUGCCGACGUGGUGGGUCUCGUUUGUAGAUUCAUUACGUCGGUCGUCGGGACCACGGGCCAAGUCAGGCGGUAUGCUCUUCACUGAGUGUACUGUUUGCUUGGUGCGUUUACUUUGAAAAAAUUGGAGUGCUCAAAGCAGGCGUACAGUCGCAAUGCGGCCAGAACAGUGGUGCAUGGAAUAAUGGAAUAGGACCUCGGUUCUAUUUUGUUGGUUUUAAGAAUUCGAGGUAAUGAUUAAGAGGGACAGGCGGGGACAUUUGUAUUGCGACGUUAGAGGUGAAAUUCUUGGAUCGUCGCAAGAC